Gasterosteus aculeatus aculeatus (three-spined stickleback) is the source of this 766-nucleotide non-coding RNA. NCBI's taxonomy places the organism in Eukaryota, Metazoa, Chordata, Actinopteri, Perciformes, Gasterosteidae. The record is from the annotation of a RefSeq genome assembly.
AACCCCUUUGCCCCUCCAGGCGGGUUAAAGAGAACAUCCUGUGCCCCUUGUGAACAAGGGAGUUUCACUUUGACGUGUAUGUAAUGUUUAGAACGUGGGAGGAGUGAGAGUCAUUUGCUGCUUUAGACAAAUAAACAGCGUAUGAUUCAAUAAUAAGCAGUAAUUGUUCCUACUGAGACCCAUCAACAGAACUUCUGUCUGAUCUUCGUUUUCCUGGAUUUCGGGAACAAAACCACUGACUGAAUUAAAGAAAGUUUCUCAGUGUCGACUUAUUCUGAUUUCUCUACGUCACUUCCUGUCCCUCGUUCUCGCCCACAAGCCCUGAGGGACUCCAGCUGGUUCCUCACAUUCAACAUGGUGCCGUCGCAUUUCAUCGUUUCCAUCAUCACCGCCUCCUGGAUUGAAGGAGUGGACCUCAGUACGGUCAAAAAAGUCUCCCAGAAUCCGGCCGAUGUGCUUCUCGGGCCAAAUAGCGAGGCCACCCUGAGCCUCCGCCAUGAGAUCCCGAGCUACGACACCGUCCUCUGGUAUCAGCGCCCGGCGGGAGGCUCGGCCCUGAAGCUGAUCGGCUACGUGUAUUACAGAAGUCCUACGGUGGAGGUAGAUUUCAAAGGCCGCUUCAACGUGAGCGGAAAUGGAGAGAGUACCGCUCAUCUUCACCUGCUCAGCCCGAGACACGCCGAAGACAGCGGCACGUAUUUCGGUGCAGCCAGUAUUACACAGUAAUGAGGGGCGGUGACGCUCUUAUACAAAAACCUGGGUGGUG